This is a long non-coding RNA of Pistacia vera, 2710 nucleotides long. RefSeq lists it as uncharacterized. The transcript has 3 exons. Lineage: Eukaryota; Viridiplantae; Streptophyta; Magnoliopsida; Sapindales; Anacardiaceae. The record is from RefSeq and is a predicted model, not a curated record.
AACUUUGAUGCAUAUCUUCUGUGGAUUUCCAUUUGAUUCUUUCAAAGAAUUUAAUGCUUUUUUUAUUUCUUUUUCUUCAAUCUUGUAUAGUUUUUGUUCUAAUACAGUUUCUUUGUUUUCUACCUUUUUUUUUUUUUUUUAAUAAAUGCUUUUUAGAUUCUUUUAUUGGUAAUCAUUGUAAGCUGCACUGCCACAUUUGCCUUGUGCCUGACUAAAGCUAUCAGGUUAAACCUUCAAUGUGAUACACUCCCAUAAACAACCAUUAUAAACAAAAUGAGAAUAAUUCUGGGGUAUGUUCCACAGACUUGUUGCAUUGAUAGACAUUCAAUUUGUUGCUUGUAAGUGUCAUUUGUAGAUAGCAUGGGCAUCUGUUGGAAGAUUAUUAAUUCUUUUUAAUAUUAAAAAUCAAUUGGUAUUUUGUACUGCUGUCAAGCUGAAUGCUAACCAGAUGGUUGUUGGAACACUUCGUUGGUUUGAUCAGUUUAUGAAUCUUGUGGUUGACAACACAGUGGAGGUGAAUGGCAAUGAGAAAACUGAUAUAGGGAUGGUAGUGAGUCUUUGUCUUUUCCUGUUGUUAGCAGAUAAUCAACUUCUAAUAGAGUAAUGACACUGCAACAGUCUUUUCUAAUUAAUUUCUGUAUAUAAACUGUGAGUUAAAUCAUAUGUCACCUAAGCCAUUCUGUGAAUUUAAAAAAAAAAGCCUUUUAUUCAAUUUUGAGUCAUGAUACUUAUUAUCAAUGGAAAUGGUUUGAGUUAAUGAUUUUCCUUUCUUGUUUCCGCACUGCUUUUUUGUCUGCCAAGUGUGACAGAUGAUUGGUUGUUGGAGAUGGCCAAAUUCACACCAAAACUUAAAGUUCUUAAAUAUUUGGGUGAGAAAGAACACCGGUGCAGUUUACACAAAAUAUGUACAAGCAAGUAAAAGAGAAGUCCUCAUCAUUUGAUGUUGUGGCAAAAGUAUGGACUAUUGGAAGCAGGAUCUUCUGGUGCAUUCUAAGCACACCUUUUAAUUUUUCAAACAUAGGGUAGGAGAUGGGUCAGUUAUUUAAACACUCACCAGUCAAGCUGUUGAUAUUGAAGUAGCUAUAGACAUUAGAGAAGUUUACUUGAUUUAGAGAUUCCAAUUAUUUGUCAGUAGAAUUUUAAUUUGCUAAAUUAUUUUGUUUAAGUGGCCCACUCCUUUAUUGUUGAACUCUUGGCAGUCCUAUGUUUUGAAUUAUCCUCCUUUUAAACCUAUGAUUGAAAUGAGUGUUAGGAUGAUAGCAGAACAAUAUUUUAGAAUGUAAGUUUUUAAUUCCUAAAGCUCUCUUCGUUGUUGGCCUAAAUUUCUUCACUUUGUAUUAAUUCCUUUUUUAGCAUAUCCCUUUCUACUUACAAGUUGGUACACCUACGAGGAACUAUGAAAUAGGAUGCUUCAAGUUGACCGUUAGUUAACUAUAGGAAUGAUUUGUUUCCCCUUUUCUUGCUUUUAGUUUAUUGGUAGUCUACUCUUGUUUGGUUAUAUUGGUUGAAAUUUAUACAUGUUUUAUUUCCAGGAAUUUCUUUCAUCCUCAUAGAAUGGUUAACGUUGAUUUCUUUAUUAAAGUUUGAGAUUCUUAUACAUAUAUGAUUUACUUAACUUUGCUAUUCGGAUUUGUCUUCCAUUGGUGAUGAUGUAAACUAUGGUGUUUGGCUUUUGUUCUGAGGGUUUCUCUAGAAAACUACCUUAGUAGUGAUGUAAGAUGAUUUCCAUUGUUGCACUUUUGUGAGUGGCACUCAUACAGUGUAGGAAUCACGUAUCAAGAUUUAUUGUGUUGAUAGGUGUGCUUCUUGCGAGCUGACUGAUUUUAUGUCAUGUCUCUUUUCACAUUCUCACUUUAUGCACCUUGUUUGUCUCCUUUUUGGAUAUCAAAUGCCUUGAUUUUUUAAUCUUUAUAUCUUCUUUCUAUGUUGAGGUAAUACAACCAUUCUUACCCCUUUCUUGGUAUUGAGCCUGAACCAUUUAAAGAAGGUGAACACCUGGUCAGGUAUCCUUUUCAUCUCAGUUUCAUAGAAAAAGGAUGUGGAUAUCUGGAGUCUACCUAUUCCUUUUGCUUGUAAAAGGAAAAAAUUUUGCUGCUUUUGUUUGCCUGCAAUUUAUAUAUUCCUUACUGCCUUCUUACAUUGUUUCCUUCUAAACAAAAUGUUGUUUCAAUUGACUUCCUGAUCAGGCUAAUGGUAAAGUUGUAAUUUUGGACCAACUACUUAAGAAGUUGAAUGUUUCUAGGCCUCGUGUUCUUCUCUUCACUCAGAGGACCCAUACUUGAUAUCUUAAAGGUUUGUUUCCAAAUCUUAAUGAUGUUAAAAUUUAUAUCUUCAGAUUGAUUGCUGAAGUUGAUUUUGACAACUAUGGUUACUACUUUUCUGAUACAACACGCGAAGUGUGGGUGUACAAGAGGCGUGGGAAGAAGCACCAGGGGAUUAAUAGUGUUAAAAGAAGCAACUAAAGUGUGAAUUGAAGGUAGUGGGACAGGUGGCGAAGGAUUACGGGAGGAGGGAUAAAUUCUGUUAGGAGAAGAAAUGAAUAAAGAGAGCAGCAGAGGAGUAAAUAGGCAUCGAGAGAGAAGUUAGGAAAAGGGGAGGUAGCUGGCCCUCAAAGUCCAGCAUAUCUGUUUCUAUUAUGUUCUAGUAUUCGUUUCUCUUAUUUUCAUUGUGGUUAAUUAAAUCCAGUAGUUCUUAUAUUUGAGAUACUAUC